AAGGAAUGGUGGACUGUCUUGAAGAGAGAAUGCCGGAAUGAGUAGCGAGAUUGAAGUGAGAAUCUUCAAGGCCGAAUAUCUAAGGUUUCCAGGGUAAAGCUGAUCUGCCUGGGUAAGUCGGGGCCUAAGGCAAGGUCGAAAGACGUAGUCGAUGGAUAACAGGUUGAAAUUCCUGUACUGCAUCAAAUCAGAAAUGUGGGGACACAUGAGGGAAGCAUGAGCCGGAAAAGGAAAGUCCGGUACAAGCGCAGCAGAGGACAGAUAGGCAAAUCCGUCUGUCAACUCAAGGGCGCGAUGUGGAGCGAACCAAAGUAGCGAAGCAUGUGGAGCUUGUGUCGAGAAAAGCCGCUAUUGUGUUUGAUGUACCCGUACCGUAAACCGACACAGGUGAUGAGGAGAGAAUCCUAAGGCCGGCGGGAGAAGCAUUGUUAAGGAACUCGGCAAAAUGACCCCGUAACUUCGGGAGAGGGGUGCUCCAGAGAUGGAGCCGCAGAGAACUGGCCCAAGCAACUGUUUAGCAAAAACACAGGUCUAUGCAAAACCGAAAGGUGAGGUAUAUGGGCUG
Molecule: ribosomal RNA, 565 nt
Filed under: Lachnospira eligens
Lineage: Bacteria; Bacillati; Bacillota; Clostridia; Lachnospirales; Lachnospiraceae
Description: [Eubacterium] eligens partial 23S ribosomal RNA
Rfam family: Bacterial large subunit ribosomal RNA
Source: RNAcentral